This 570-nucleotide ribosomal RNA is filed under the name fungal endophyte sp. ZY-2009. RNAcentral's name for it is "eukaryotic LSU rRNA". The stretch from base 162 to 315 matches the Rfam family "5.8S ribosomal RNA". The record is from RNAcentral. Lineage: Eukaryota; Fungi.
UGCCGGGACUUUGUGCGCCCGUGCUAGGUUGCGUCCGGCCCCGCUCCUUACCUUGCCUACUGCACCGUUUGUUGCUUCCUGGCGGUGGGACACCGCCGCCAGGAUCCUUCUAAAAGUCUUGUAUAUAAGCAUUGAAAACCCUGAUAUACACUAAAUCGUACAACUUUCAACAAUGGAUCUCUUGGUUCUGGCAUCGAUGAAGAACGCAGCGAAAUGCGAUAAGUAGUGUGAAUUGCAGAAUUCAGUGAAUCAUCGAAUCUUUGAACGCACAUUGCGCCCCUUGGUAUUCCAUGGGGCAUGCCUGUUCGAGCGUCAUCUAAACCCUCAAGCCCCCCGGUGUUGCCUCGCCUAUGGCGUGGGCCCCGCCCGGCUUGGUGUUGGGUGUCUGUCCCCGCCCCCCCGCGCGGACUCGCCCUAAAUGCAUUGGCAGGCGGCCUCCCGGCUCCUCGCGCAGCACAUUGCGCAGUAGGACGCGGAGAGAGGCGCGCGUCCAGCAAGCAACCCCCCAAGUUUGACCUCGGAUCAGGUAGGGAUACCCGCUGAACUUAAGCAUAUCAAUAAGCGGAGGAA